UACGUAGGGCGCAAGCGUUAUCCGGAAUUAUUGGGCGUAAAGAGCUCGUAGGCGGUUUCGUAAGUCGGAUGUGAAAACUCAGGGCUCAACCCGGAGACGCCAUCUGAUACUGCGAUGACUGGAGUCUGGUAGGGGAUCACGGAAUACCUGGUGUAGCGGUGAAAUGCGCAGAUAUCAGGUGGAACACCGAUGGCGAAGGCAGUGAUCUGGGCCAGUACUGACGCUGAGGAGCGAAAGCGUGGGGAGCAAACAGG
This 254-nucleotide ribosomal RNA is filed under the name uncultured bacterium. RNAcentral describes it as "partial 16S ribosomal RNA". It matches the Rfam family "Bacterial small subunit ribosomal RNA", at positions 524 to 776 of the family's 1533-position model. The record is from RNAcentral.